AGAUCGGGUCCUCGCAGUACCAAAGUGCUCAUAGUGCAGGUAGUUUCGGCUUUACUCUACUGUAGUGUGGGCACUUCCAGUACUCUUGGACGACGAGGCUCUCGGAGAUGGAG
Molecule: microRNA precursor, 113 nt
Filed under: Mustela putorius furo (domestic ferret)
Lineage: Eukaryota; Metazoa; Chordata; Mammalia; Carnivora; Mustelidae
Description: microRNA 20b (ENSMPUG00000022312.1)
Rfam family: mir-17 microRNA precursor family (bases 11-89)
About the family: This family represents the microRNA (miRNA) precursor mir-17, family, which includes mir-20, mir-91, and mir-103. miRNAs are transcribed as ~70nt precursors (modelled here) and subsequently processed by the Dicer enzyme to give a ~22nt product. In this case the mature sequence comes from the 3' arm of the precursor.
Source: RNAcentral